RNAcentral lists this non-coding RNA (26 nucleotides) under Mus musculus (house mouse). The record is from RNAcentral. Lineage: Eukaryota; Metazoa; Chordata; Mammalia; Rodentia; Muridae.
UGAAAGACCUCCACAUCCCUAGAGCA